CGAUUUUUGUAGGUGAAUAUUUAGGAAACGAAUGAGCGAAAUAAAGAAAGGUUGAUAAAUAAUUAUCAAUAGUUAGAAGGUGAACUGAUUUUGGUGCUACAUCAAAGAUUGUUAACGUGAAAUAUUCAAUGGGUGGCUGCCAUAUUCUGCUCGAAUGAACGGUCCUCGAAACACUGACAAACAAUGUCACCGCGCGCGCUUUCAUUCAGCUGAGACGACAAGGGUGUUUCCCUUUUCCGGCGCUGCGCUGAAUGUCUGGGACUUUAAUUGAAUAAAUUGAUAUAAUUUUAGCUGAAAAGGCAUACUUACAACAAUACGC
This is a long non-coding RNA of Phymastichus coffea, 319 nucleotides long. RefSeq lists it as uncharacterized. NCBI's taxonomy places the organism in Eukaryota, Metazoa, Arthropoda, Insecta, Hymenoptera, Eulophidae. The record is from RefSeq and is a predicted model, not a curated record. The transcript is spliced from 3 exons.